RNAcentral lists this long non-coding RNA (291 nucleotides) under Phoenix dactylifera (date palm). RNAcentral's name for it is "long non-coding RNA (PDAC_LNC022907)". The record is from RNAcentral. Lineage: Eukaryota; Viridiplantae; Streptophyta; Magnoliopsida; Arecales; Arecaceae.
ACCUCCCGACAGCUGUCUAGUGAUGAUUUACAUAUUGGUGUGGUGUCAUAUUUGAUAUAUGCAUAUGGCAGUAGGGAGUUGUUGCUGGUUCGCCUGGGGCGUAAAACCCACCUUCCGAUAGCUGUCUAGUGAUGAUUUCAGCAUAUUGACACCUGAUUUAUAUGUUCCAGCAUUAUGAUCUGUUGAGCAUAUUCAUGAGUAGCAUAUAUGUUUACUUGAUUAUUCCAUAUAUGCUUCAGAUGAGUUGAUAUUGAUUGUGGUGAUAUUGAUGAUUUACUCCAUAUUCUCUAU